This 310-nucleotide unclassified non-coding RNA is filed under the name fungal sp. Its description in RNAcentral is "partial internal transcribed spacer region". The stretch from base 1 to 46 matches the Rfam family "Eukaryotic small subunit ribosomal RNA", at positions 1786 to 1831 of the family's 1831-position model. Lineage: Eukaryota; Fungi. The record is from RNAcentral.
AAGUCGUAACAAGGUUUCCGUAGGUGAACCUGCGGAAGGAUCAUCAUCAAUUUCAUAUCCCCCUCCCCCUCACAGGGGUGGGGGAUCCAUGAUAAACCCUUCUGUGCACCGUAAACCGUUCACUUUGGCAGGCUUUGGUGGUGAGCGUGAGCUCCCCGCCAACCUCGGCUUCUCCCUCCCCCAGAGGGCGAUCGCGAGGCGGCCUGCCGGAGUCCUGCAAUUAAAAACGCGUUUUCGAACUAGACUGAAAAUUUCCUUUGAGAAAUCAAAGAACCUAAAACAACUUUCAACAACGGAUCUCUUGGCUCUC